GGGUGGAGUCAGAACGACAUCACAGUAGGAGGAGUCUGCUGGGGGCAGGACUUUCUCUACAGUAACUUCAUUUGGCUGAAAGUAUUUGGAGGAGAAGCAUCUCAGGGGGAAUGUAGGAGAAACAUUUUUCUUCUCUCUUUUUAUUUUACUUGUGUUUCUUUCUUGUUUUACUUAUAAAUGUAUUGUAUGCUUACUGUCAUGAUAUAUUCUGAAUCAUUUCAACUGAUGUAAGCUUCCGGUAGAGCACCUUAAAAGUGUAAUUUCUUGUUCCAGUUUAAACCACACACACACAUGGUUUCUGCACAACUGGAUUGCAGAACUAUUUGUUUUGUUAUUAUUGGAAUAUGAACAUGUACAAUGAAAUAGUAAGUAUAACCACAUUCUAAGGCGUUUUCCUCUGUUUAAGGACCACAGAACAAGUUUUAACAGAAACUAGGAAUUUAUGCUGCUCAGAUGAAGAACCACUCCUUGCAUGUCAGAAAUAACCAGUUUUGGGACUGGUUUCUGCUAAAUGUAUAAAGAUGCUUCACUGGGGCUAUGUCCCCAGACUCAACUUGUAUUGCUGWAUGCAUGUUGACUCUCAUUUUAUUGCAAUAAAAUUACUCAGAGACCAUUGUAGUGAAGAACUUUUUUGAUCAUGUAUUUCURCACUUUGCACAAGCUGAAAAUGUUUAACAGCAGAAGAGUUAUUGUGAGUUCAAACAGCUGAAAGAACAACACAAGUAGUAAUAGAAACAAGUUGAAACUAGCAGACAGACAUUUGAAUGGAGAGUAAAGAAAGCUCACAAAGAAAUUUUUUACAAAAAAGAAGUAAUUUGUUGGGGUAACAGCUAAAGUUAGCAGAAAAAUAGAUAAAAUAGUUGAAAAAUCUUUAAUUAGCAUAAAAAUGCACAAAAAUUGUCCACAGACAGAUUUUACCUCCAGGUUAGCACCAAGCAGUCCUCAAUGAACAAUGAGGUUUAAGACCUCUUCAGGGUCCAGCUGUGAGGACCACUUACUGUUUACUGACCUGUUUGAUGAAUUCAGAGCCCUGCCCCUGGAGACGUGGACCGGCUGGGACCGGCUGGCCUGGUGUGACACUGCUGCUGUAACACUUGCAGGAGUAGUAUCACUACUUCUCUCCCGCAGAGGAGAGGUGCCUCCUCUCCUGGGGGCGACUGCGUUCCCACUCCCCUGCUCACUCUCUGGUCAAGUCUUCAUCUGGGGGGUCCGUAAACGAACUGGCAAGGAGGUUCUGGUGUUUCACCAAGACUACAGAAACUGAAAGCCUUAUGGCUGAGGUCGACAAUCGGCUGAAAGCGGGGGAGAUAGAAGCGAGGUGAAAAUGAUAACACGGACGCCUCGGAGGAAGAGGCUUCACCCGAAUCUUUGUAUCAAUAAAGUGACAGAUUUUUUUUUUGUUUUUUGCUUUGCUUUUUCAAAAAAUAAAUGUUGGAAAGAUUAA
Molecule: long non-coding RNA, 1444 nt
Organism: Austrofundulus limnaeus
Lineage: Eukaryota; Metazoa; Chordata; Actinopteri; Cyprinodontiformes; Rivulidae
Exons: 2
Source: RefSeq, a predicted model, not a curated record